RNAcentral lists this ribosomal RNA (497 nucleotides) under uncultured bacterium. RNAcentral describes it as "partial 16S ribosomal RNA". It matches the Rfam family "Bacterial small subunit ribosomal RNA", at positions 28 to 507 of the family's 1533-position model. The record is from RNAcentral.
GAUGAACGCUCGCUACAGGCUUAACACAUGCAAGUCGAGGGGAAACGACAUCGAAAGCUUGCUUUUGAUGGGCGUCGACCGGCGCACGGGUGAGUAACGCGUAUCCAACCUGCCCACCACUUGGGGAUAACCUUGCGAAAGUAAGACUAAUACCCAAUGAUAUCUCUAGAAGACAUCUGAAAGAGAUUAAAGAUUUAUCGGUGAUGGAUGGGGAUGCGUCUGAUUAGCUUGUUGGCGGGGUAACGGCCCACCAAGGCAACGAUCAGUAGGGGUUCUGAGAGGAAGGUCCCCCACAUUGGAACUGAGACACGGUCCAAACUCCUACGGGAGGCAGCAGUAGGGAAUCUUCCGCAAUGGGCGAAAGCCUGACGGAGCAACGCCGCGUGAGUGAUGAAGGUCUUCGGAUCGUAAAACUCUGUUAUUAGGGAAGAACAUAUGUGUAAGUAACUGUGCACAUCUUGACGGUACCUAAUCAGAAAGCCACGGCUAACUACGUG